GGUUCUACUAGAAUCACAUCCUUUUGGGGAAAGGGGGGAAAUCAACCAAAAAGAGCAAGGCAGAACAAGGCAGGAGAUCCAAGCGGCAGGCUUCUUCUAAUGUGCACUACUUUUAAACCCAGAGGUGCCUUUGGUGUGGAAAUUCCAUGGAAGCAGGGUUUCCUAGCAACAACAAGAUAACAGAUGACAUCAUGGCCCACAAAGUAGAUGAGCAGAGUUAUCUAACAGACAGCAGAUGCUUCUUCCUCCCCCAUCCCAAUCCCAAUCCCCACUCUCUUCCAAAACCCCAUUUUUUAAAAAAGAAGAGGAAAGAAAAUCUCUAGUGGAUCUUAUAUUACAGUGGCCAGAGCAGAAGAGUUUACAAAGCAACACCCCAAGAAAUCUCCAGCUGCACAGAAGACAGGAAGAUUUCCACAGUUAGAUUAUAUAUAGCCAAAUUACACAAAGAAGCUAGAGGAAGAUGCAGAAAUGAAUGGCAUCUAUUUAAUUUCUUAAGUAGCAUCAUUCACUGCAGAACCCAAAUCAUCUGGAAUAAAAUCUUAGGUGAAGAUGAAAUAAUUAAA
This is a long non-coding RNA of Podarcis raffonei (Aeolian wall lizard), 563 nucleotides long. RefSeq lists it as uncharacterized. NCBI's taxonomy places the organism in Eukaryota, Metazoa, Chordata, Lepidosauria, Squamata, Lacertidae. The record is from RefSeq and is a predicted model, not a curated record. The transcript is spliced from 2 exons.